GACGAACGCUGGCGGCGUGCUUAACACAUGCAAGUCGAACGGAAAGGCCCUGCUUUUGUGGGGUGCUCGUGUGGCGCGGGGGGGUGUAACACGUGUGUAACCUGCCCUUGACUUUGGGAUAACUUCGGGAAACUGGGGCUAAUACCGGAUAGGAGCUCCUGCUGCAUGGUGGUGGAUGGUAAGUUUCGGCGGUGGGGGAUGGACUCGCGGCUUAUCAGCUGGUUGGGGGGGUAGGGGCUUACCAAGGCUUUGACGGGUAGCCGGCCUGAGAGGGUGACCGGCCACAUGGGGACUGAGAUACGGCCCAGACUCCUACGGGAGGCAGCAGGGGGGAAUAUGGCACAAUGGGCCGAAGCCUGAUGCAGCAACGCCGCGUGCGGAAUGACGGCCUUCGGGUGGUAAACCGCUUUGGCAGGUGACGAGCCCUUAGUGACGGUAAUGGGUAAAGAAGCACCGGCUAACUACGUG
This 468-nucleotide ribosomal RNA is filed under the name uncultured bacterium. RNAcentral describes it as "partial 16S ribosomal RNA". It matches the Rfam family "Bacterial small subunit ribosomal RNA", at positions 28 to 507 of the family's 1533-position model. The record is from RNAcentral.